Molecule: ribosomal RNA, 230 nt
Filed under: uncultured bacterium
Lineage: Bacteria
Description: partial 16S ribosomal RNA
Rfam family: Bacterial small subunit ribosomal RNA
Source: RNAcentral
CGGGUGAGUAACACGUGAGUAACCUGCCCUUCACUCUGGGAUAACUCCGGGAAACCGGGGCUAAUACUGGAUAUGACUCGAACAGGCAUCUCUAUCGUGUGGAAAGUUUUUCGGUCUGGGAUGGACUCGCGGCCUAUCAGCUAGUUGGUGAGGUAACGGCUCACCAAGGCGACGACGGGUAGCCGGCCUGAGAGAGCGACCGGCCACACUGGGACUGAGACACGGCCCAG